This is a small nuclear RNA of Bos taurus (domestic cattle), 179 nucleotides long. Its record names the gene U2. It matches the Rfam family "U2 spliceosomal RNA". From Rfam's summary of the family: U2 is a small nuclear RNA (snRNA) component of the spliceosome (involved in pre-mRNA splicing). NCBI's taxonomy places the organism in Eukaryota, Metazoa, Chordata, Mammalia, Artiodactyla, Bovidae. The record is from Ensembl.
AUCGCUUCUCGGCCUUUUGGCUAAGAUCAAGUGUAGUAUCUGUUCUUAUCAGUUUAAUAUCUGAUACGUCCUCUAUCCGAGGACUAAAAAAAAAAAAAUAAUAAAGAAAGAUAAUUGUCUUAUGACAUUGUGUUGAUUUCUGCCAUUCUGCAGCAUAAAUUGCCACAAGUGAAUAUCCC